Long non-coding RNA from Amblyraja radiata (thorny skate), 236 nucleotides. RefSeq lists it as uncharacterized. The record is from RefSeq and is a predicted model, not a curated record. Lineage: Eukaryota; Metazoa; Chordata; Chondrichthyes; Rajiformes; Rajidae. The transcript has 3 exons.
GGUCGGAUUCGGAAUGGGAGGGGGAAUUGAAGUGCUGAGCCACCGGGAAAUCGGGUGGGUUAGUGCGAACCGAGCGGAGGUGUUGGGCGAAGCGAUCGCCAAGCCUACGCUUGGUCUCAUUGAUGUAGAGAAGCUGACAUCAAGAGCAGCGAAUGCAAUAGAUGAGGUUGGAGGAGGUGCAGGUGAACCUCUGCCACACCUGGAAAGACGGCUUGGGUCCUUGGUUGGAGUAGAGG